UGAAUACGAGAUGCUACGGCGUCGAAGCAGUGUAUGUCAGACUUCCAAGAAAAGCUCGCAAUGUCAUAAAUAAAGAAUGCCUGUACCAUAACCGACACAGGUGGGUAGGUAAAGUAUACUAAGGGGCGCGAGAUAACUCUCUCUAAGGAACUCGGCAAAAUAACUCCGUAACUUCGGGAGAAGGAGUGCCUUCUUUAAGAAGGUUGCAAUAACAAGAUCCAAGCAACUGUUUAUCAAAAACACAGGUCUCCGCUAAGUCGUAAGACGAUGUAUGGGGGCUGACGCCUGCCCAGUGCCAGAAGGUUAAAGAAGUUGGUUAGCUUUUGCGAAGCUGAUGACUGAAGCCCUGGUGAACGGCGGCCGUAACAAUAACGGUCCUAAGGUAGCGAAAUUCCUUGUCGGGUAAGUUCCGACCCGCACGAAAGGCGUAAUGAUUUGGAUACUGUCUCGGAGAGGGACUCGGUGAAAUAGACUUGUCUGUGAAGAUGCGGACUACCUGCACCAGGACAGAAAGACCCUAUGAAGCUUUACUGUAACUUGAAAUUGAAAUUGGACUUUAUUUGCGCAGUAUAGGUGGAAGGCGUUGAAAGUAAUCUUGCGGGAUUAGUGGAGCCAUCAGUGAGAUACCACUCCUAUAAUGUUAGAUUUCUAACUUUGGAUCAUGAUCUGGUCAAAGAACAGUUUCAGGCGGGCAGUUUGACUGGGGCGGUCGCCUCCCAAAUGGUAACGGAGGCGUACAAAGGUUUCCUCUGAACGGGUAGAAAUCGUAUCUAGAGUGUAAAGGCAUAAGGAAGCUUGACUGUGAGACCUACAGGUCGAGCAGGGACGAAAGUCGGUCUUAGUGAUCUGACGGUGCUGAGUGGAAAGGCCGUCACUCAACGGAUAAAAGUUACUCUAGGAUAACAGGCUGAUCUCCCCCAAGAGUUCACAUCGACGGGGAGGUUUGGCACCUCGAUGUCGGCUCAUCGCAUCCUGGGGCGGUAGUACGUCCCAAGGGUUGGGCUGUUCGCCCAUGAAAGCGGUACGCGAGCUGGGUUCAGAACGUCGUGAGACAGUUCGGUCCAUAUCCGGUGUAGGCGUUAGAAUAUUGAGAGGAGCCUUCUUUAGUACGAGAGGACCGAGAAGGACAUACCUCUGGUGUACCAGUUAUCGUGCCAACGGUAAACGCUGGGUAGCUAUGUAUGGAGAGGAUAACCGCUGAAAGCAUCUAAGUGGGAAGCCCACCUCAAGAUGAGUAUUCUC
RNAcentral lists this ribosomal RNA (1242 nucleotides) under metagenome. RNAcentral describes it as "bacterial LSU rRNA". It matches the Rfam family "Bacterial large subunit ribosomal RNA", at positions 1564 to 2815 of the family's 2925-position model. The record is from RNAcentral.